This 1276-nucleotide long non-coding RNA is filed under the name Sitophilus oryzae (rice weevil). RNAcentral describes it as "uncharacterized LOC115882065, transcript variant X6". Lineage: Eukaryota; Metazoa; Arthropoda; Insecta; Coleoptera; Curculionidae. The record is from RNAcentral.
ACACGGUUUAAAGUUGUUUUUUAUUCCUAAAAGUACAGUUUACAGAUGAUGUUUAUUCGUACAGGCAAACAAUAAGUAGUAUUUUCUACGUCUUUUAGAGAAUGCUAUUAUUAAUACAUAGUACGUAAAGACCGCCUAAAAGGAGAGGCCUAGGUCACCCCUUGUAUAAGAUGUUUGGCCAUUAUUCUGGUUUACAAGAUUGGUUUCCCAUUAUCCUAUUAAAGAUUUGAAUUUGAAGAAUUGUUAGAUGAAUAUAGGGAUCCAAGGCAGUAAAAUUUAUCCUUUGGAUGAAUAUAAGCAACAAUGCAUCUGGACAUAUUAAUGAUAACGUGAUAACGCAGCUACCUAUGGUUAAGUGUUAGAAGUUUAUAUUUCAAUUUACAUAGUCACAGUUUAAGAAAUAGAAUUAUAUAUUUAUUAUAACAUAUUAUAAUAAACGUAAGAAGAAAUGAGACUUGACUUAUUAACCAUAUAUAACAAAAAGUGUUAACAGCUUCUACAAUAUUAUGUAAAUUGGGUAUUUCAUGCUAUUGUGCAUGUAUACAGUGAAGAAAUAAGAAGAAAAUCUUUCAUUUACAUCUUAACAAAGCGUCCUGUCUUUUCAAAUUUUUCCUUUGGCGCGCUUAAUUGAUUACAGCGCCAUACUUGUUUAGUGAAAAUAUUUGGAACUAUUUUCUAAUCGAUUCUGACGCCACCGUACGGAAAGUUUUAAAAAUCUAAUAAUACAGCGAGGAGAGCUUGCUAUGAGCAAGAAAGGAAAAUACAUCAAGUAAAAUGGAGAGAAAUAAGAUUUUCUUUUGAGAAAAUAUCUUCAGGUCAAAGAAUAAUUUCAUAAGAACACCUCACUGAUUGUACCCUGCUCUUCAAUGAAAAUGUGUGCCAAAAAAAGAGUAAACCUGAAGCAACAAUAUUGGAAUCAACAAAACAGCGAGAUGGUUUCAGCUUUCAAAUCAUUCCUGCAAAUACCUCUUUCAAAAAUUAUAUUCUCGAACAUUGAAAUCCAUUCUAUGAUGUACCUCCCAAACCUGCUUUUUUCUUUGAUAUAAAGAUGAUUUGAAAUUACUAUUUUCUAAAUGCAGUAUUGUUAUGAAGAUAUGAUUGCAGUAUAUAAUAUAAGAAAUAUCUGCAAGUACUGGAAAUAUGGACAUACGGUAUACAUCAGAAAGAAAACGGUAUAGACGAAUCUAUAAUCGAAGGACUUUCAUUCUAGUUGGCUGUUUAUAUGUCUAAAAAUAAAUCUAUAAUUAUUAUAUUAAUGUUAAUUGUAUUUAUAAAC